UAGUCAUAUGCUUGUCUCAGAGAUUAAGCCAUGCAUGUCUAAGUAUAAGCAAUCUUAUACAGCGAAACUGCGAAUGGCUCAUUAAAUCAGUUAUAGUCUACUUGAUCGUAUCUUCUUACAUGGAUAACCGUAGUAAAUCUAGAGCUAAUACAUGCUAAAAAUCCUGGACGCGGCAACGCGGAAGGGACGAGUUUAUUAGAUUAAAAACCGACACCUCUCCGCGAGGGGAGGUAGCACAGGUGAUUCACAGUAACCGAUCGGAUCGUCGGCCUCGUCGACGACGAUGUAUACGAGUUUCUGCCCUAUCAACUUUAGAUGGUAGAGUAUCGGUCUACCAUGGUCGUAACGGGUGACGGGGGAUUAGGGUUCGAUUCCGGAGAGGGAGCCUGAGAAACGGCUACCACUUCCAAGGAAGGCAGCAGGCGCGCAAAUUACUUAAUUUCGACACGGGGAGGUAGUGAUAAGAAAUACCAUUGUAAUGUCUCCUCGAGAGGCUUACGAUUGGAAUGAGUACAAUUUAAAUCCCUUAACGAGUAACGAUU
RNAcentral lists this ribosomal RNA (542 nucleotides) under uncultured eukaryote. RNAcentral's name for it is "SSU rRNA". It matches the Rfam family "Eukaryotic small subunit ribosomal RNA", at positions 21 to 549 of the family's 1831-position model. The record is from RNAcentral.